Molecule: ribosomal RNA, 301 nt
Filed under: uncultured bacterium
Lineage: Bacteria
Description: partial 16S ribosomal RNA
Rfam family: Bacterial small subunit ribosomal RNA
Source: RNAcentral
CAGCCGCCGCGGUAAUACGAAGGGUGCAAGCGUUACUCGGAAUUACUGGGCGUAAAGCGUGUGUAGGUGGUUGUUUAAGUCUGUCGUGAAAGCCCUGGGCUCAACCUGGGAAUUGCGAUGGAUACUGGGCGACUAGAGUGCGGUAGAGGAUAGUGGAAUUUCCGGUGUAGCAGUGAAAUGCGUAGAGAUCGGAAGGAACAUCUGUGGCGAAGGCGACUAUCUGGGCCAACACUGACACUGAGAGACGAAAGCUAGGGGAGCAAAUGGGAUUAGAUACCCCGGUAGUCCCUGUCUCUUAUAA